This 72-nucleotide transfer RNA is filed under the name Diaphorina citri (Asian citrus psyllid). It matches the Rfam family "tRNA". From Rfam's summary of the family: Transfer RNA (tRNA) molecules are approximately 80 nucleotides in length. Their secondary structure includes four short double-helical elements and three loops (D, anti-codon, and T loops). Further hydrogen bonds mediate the characteristic L-shaped molecular structure. tRNAs have two regions of fundamental functional importance: the anti-codon, which is responsible for specific mRNA codon recognition, and the 3' end, to which the tRNAs corresponding amino acid is attached (by aminoacyl-tRNA synthetases). tRNAs cope with the degeneracy of the genetic code in two manners: having more than one tRNA (with a specific anti-codon) for a particular amino acid; and 'wobble' base-pairing, i.e. permitting non-standard base-pairing at the 3rd anti-codon position. Lineage: Eukaryota; Metazoa; Arthropoda; Insecta; Hemiptera; Psyllidae. The record is from Rfam by way of RNAcentral.
GCUCCCAUGGCGUAGUGGUCACUGCGCUCGCCUUGCACGUGGGAGACCCGGGUUCGAUUCCCGGUGGGGUCA